GACGAACGCUGGCGGCGUGCUUAACACAUGCAAGUCGAGCGGUAAGGCCCUUUCGGGGGUACACGAGCGGCGAACGGGUGAGUAAUACGUGGGUGACCUGCCCUCAGCUCUGGGAUAAGCCUGGGAAACCGGGUCUAAUACCGGAUAUGACUCCAUGACGCAUGUUGUGGGGUGGAAAGCCUUGUGCGGCUGAGGAUGGGCCCGCGGCCUAUCAGCUUGUUGGUGGGGUGAUGGCCUACCAAGGCGACGACGGGUAGCCGGCCUGAGAGGGCGACCGGCUACACUGGGACUGAGACACGGCCCAGACUCCUACGGGAGGCAGCAGUGGGGAAUCUUGCGCAAUGGGCGAAAGCCUGACGCAGCGACGCCGCGUGAGGGAUGACGGCCU
Molecule: ribosomal RNA, 388 nt
Filed under: uncultured bacterium
Lineage: Bacteria
Description: bacterial SSU rRNA
Rfam family: Bacterial small subunit ribosomal RNA
Source: RNAcentral